ACUUGUUAGUUGCCAUCAUUCAGUUGGGCACUCUAGCGAGACUGCCGGUAAUAAACCGGAGGAAGGUGGGAUGACGUCAAAUCAUCAUGCCCCUUAUGACCUGGGCUACACACGUGCUACAAUGGUUGGUACAACGAGUUGCGAGUCGGUGACGGCGAGCUAAUCUCUUAAAGCCAAUCUCAGUUCGGAUUGUAGGCUGCAACUCGCCUACAUGAAGUCGGAAUCGCUAGUAAUCGCGGAUCAGCACGCCGCGGUGAAUACGUUCCCGGGCCUU
This 274-nucleotide ribosomal RNA is filed under the name uncultured Streptococcus sp. RNAcentral describes it as "partial 16S ribosomal RNA". It matches the Rfam family "Bacterial small subunit ribosomal RNA", at positions 1106 to 1382 of the family's 1533-position model. The record is from RNAcentral. Lineage: Bacteria; Bacillati; Bacillota; Bacilli; Lactobacillales; Streptococcaceae.